AUUGAACGCUGGCGGCAUGCCUUACACAUGCAAGUCGAACGGCAGCAUGAUCUAGCUUGCUAGAUUGAUGGCGAGUGGCGAACGGGUGAGUAAUACAUCGGAACGUUCCCUGUAGUGGGGGAUAACUAGUCGAAAGAUUAGCUAAUACCGCAUCCGACCUGAGGGUGAAAGUGGGGGACCGCAAGGCCUCAUGCUAUAGGAGCGGCCGAUGUCUGAUUAGCUAGUUGGUGAGGUAAAGGCUCACCAAGGCGACGAUCAGUAGCUGGUCUGAGAGGACGAUCAGCCACACUGGGACUGAGACACGGCCCAGACUCCUACGGGAGGCAGCAGUGGGGAAUUUUGGACAAUGGGCGAAAGCCUGAUCCAGCAAUGCCGCGUGUGUGAAGAAGGCCUUCGGGUUGUAAAGCACUUUUGUCCGGAAAGAAAUGGCUCUGGUUAAUACCUGGGGUCGAUGACGGUACCGGAAGAAUAAGGACCGGCUAACUACGUG
Molecule: ribosomal RNA, 490 nt
Filed under: uncultured bacterium
Lineage: Bacteria
Description: partial 16S ribosomal RNA
Rfam family: Bacterial small subunit ribosomal RNA
Source: RNAcentral